RNAcentral lists this ribosomal RNA (512 nucleotides) under uncultured bacterium. RNAcentral's name for it is "bacterial SSU rRNA". It matches the Rfam family "Bacterial small subunit ribosomal RNA", at positions 8 to 518 of the family's 1533-position model. The record is from RNAcentral.
AGAGUUUGAUUAGUGGCUCAAGGACGAACGCUGGCGGCAUGCCUAACACAUGCAAGUCGAACGGAAUAAGACUGGUUGUAGCGAUACUUUCGGUCUUAUUUAGUGGCGAACGGGUGAGUAACACGUGAGCAACCUGCCUUUUACACAGGGAUAACAGCCGGAAACGGCUGCUAAUACCGGAUAAGACCACACUGAGGCAUCUCAGAGGGGUCAAAGCGUUUAGCGGUAAAAGAUGGGCUCGCGUCCCAUUAGCUAGUUGGUGAGAUAACAGCCCACCAAGGCGACGAUGGGUAGCCGACUUGAGAGAGUGAUCGGCCACAUUGGAACUGAGACACGGUCCAGACUCCUUCGGGAGGCAGCAGUGGGGAAUAUUGGGCAAUGGAGGAAACUCUUACCCAGCAAAUGCCGCGUGAAUGAAGAAGGCCUUCGGGUUGUAAAGUUCUUUUAUUGAUGAUAAAGAAAGUGAUAUUAGUCAAUGAAUAAGCCCCGGCUAACUAUGUGCCAGCAGCCGC